This 238-nucleotide long non-coding RNA is filed under the name Lathyrus oleraceus (garden pea). RNAcentral's name for it is "Pisum sativum (pea) long non-coding RNA (PSAT_LNC023712)". Lineage: Eukaryota; Viridiplantae; Streptophyta; Magnoliopsida; Fabales; Fabaceae. The record is from RNAcentral.
ACAUUUUCACACAACCUAAGCAUAAAGUACGAACACAACUCAACCAUUAUUCAAACAAGCAUAUUCAUCAUUCUAGGGCAAUAAAAAAAUCAAGGAAAUGCAAUUCACAACAAGAUAAAAUCCCAAUAUCCCCAAUCUAAUCCAACAUGCAAGAAGAUGAUGAUUGGUGAAAAAUCUUCUUCUUCCUCCAAAACUCGCCCCACUCACUCUCUAACUCAACUCUCCACUUCAAUUCUAG